Molecule: ribosomal RNA, 258 nt
Filed under: uncultured Gardnerella sp.
Lineage: Bacteria; Bacillati; Actinomycetota; Actinomycetes; Bifidobacteriales; Bifidobacteriaceae
Description: partial 16S ribosomal RNA
Rfam family: Bacterial small subunit ribosomal RNA
Source: RNAcentral
GGCGAACGGGUGAGUAAUGCGUGACCAACCUGCCCCAUGCUCCAGAAUAGCUCUUGGAAACGGGUGGUAAUGCUGGAUGCUCCAACUUGACGCAUGUCUUGUUGGGAAAGUGUUUAGUGGCAUGGGAUGGGGUCGCGUCCUAUCAGCUUGUAGGCGGGGUAAUGGCCCACCUAGGCUUCGACGGGUAGCCGGCCUUAGAGGGCGGACGGCCACAUUGGGACUGAGAUACGGCCCAGACUCCUACGGGAGGCAGCAGGG